AUGGUUUCUGAUUUCUUUUUGAGUUUCUUGAACUUAUCUUUAAUAGACAUGGCGUUGGAAGCCCUAUCAAUAGUUUCCAGCUUCUUUGCCUUAGUUUUCGCAAUGGACAUAGAAUCAAAAUCAUUAUCAAUGGUUUUAGGUUUCUUUUUAAGCUUCUUCGACUUGAUUUCUGCUUUGUGCAUUAAACCAGAAUCACUAUCAAUAAUUUCUUGUUUUUUCUUCAGCUUCUUAGUUUUUACUUCUGCAACAGACAUGGAGUCUGAAUCACUACCAUUAGCUUUCAGCCUCUUAGACUUGAUUUUGGCGAUAGGCAUAGAGUCUGAGUCACUAUCAACAGUUUCUGCCUUUUUUCCUAACUUCUUGGGCUUCAUAUUGGCAAUAGGCAUGGAGUCUGAAUCACUACCAUUAGCUUUCAGCCUCUUAGACUUGAUUUUGGCGAUGGGCAUAGAGUCUGAGUCACUAUCAACAGUUUCUGCCUUUUUUCCUAACUUCUUGGGCUUCAUAUUGGCAAUAGGCAUGGAGUCUGAAUCACUACCAUUAGCUUUCAGCCUCUUAGACUUGAUUUUGGCGAUGGGCAUAGAGUCUGAGUCACUAUCAACAGUUUCUGCCUUUUUUCCUAACUUCUUGGGCUUUAUAUUGACAAUCGGUAUGGAGUCCGAAUCGCUACUCCCAGAUUCUGAAUUAGAUUCAUAGCCAUUUGGUUCUUUUACUAUAUUCAACGGUUUGUUUGGGUUUGAAAGUACCUUUGUAACGGUUUUUGAACUUUGCCUUUUCACCUUACUUUUUUCCUGAGACUUCUUCCGAGAUUCUGAUCCUGAAUCAAAAUCUGAGGCUGAGUCUUCAAGUUUCUUAGGUAUAUUUGACUUGACCUUUUAUUCAAGCAGGUUACAGAACCUUUCGAUUCCAUUUUCUCACUUUCAUCUGACUUUUUCUUGAUCUGCGAUUUUGGAGUUGAGCAUUCGAGUGAUUUGUUCCUUCCUUUGGUUUUCUUGGUAGACUUUAAUUUUCUGUCCCCUUCUCGUGCUGAUUCUAUUUCUGUUUCGGUAUCUCUUUUGAUUGAUACUUCCUCAGAUUCAGCCUCUUCUUCCGACUGAUUAGAAUUAUUUCCUCCUACAAAAAGUUUACGUUUGACUUGCUUAUCAGACUCAGAGUCAGAAUCAAUAUAGAUUGCUUUUCCUUGCUUCAUGGAUCCACUAGCUGCGGAAAGAACGGUUUCUUCAUCAGAAUAUUCAGGAGAAACCUCUCUUUUCUUUUUGACAACCUUCUUUUGUCUCUUUUCAGUCAAAGUUGAGCCCUCGGUGUCUGUAUCAGAAUUUGAACUUUCACUUGAUAUCAUUACACUGCUUUUCUUAUGUUUAAUGUUAGGAUUAGAAUCAUUGGAAACACUAUCUAUACCUUUCAUUAACUUUUGUUCUGAGGCUGGGGGACUAGAAGAGUUGAGGCUCCUGUCCUCAGGCUCUGACAGAUCCCAGAAUGACCGUCUGGUUCGUAGAGAACGACCUGUGAUGAAACAGAAAUUAUUCAAGAGAUUAAAAUAAAAGUAUGGCAUGACAAGGACUACUUCAUGCUAAAAAUCCCAAACUGAUUUUUACUUAUGUUAACUAAAGUAUUCUUUAGCCUGGUUUUUUUUGCCCGGUAAGGUACAGGAUGUUUUUCUAGCUUUCUCUCUGAAGAUAAAAUUAAGUAAUGGAUCACAAGACAGCCUACAAAAUGUAGCACAGCAGUAAAUGGACAUUGCCGUACUAAGAGAACACUGUAUGAGCCUUCAGACGUUGCCAAGUUUCCUCUGAUAAAAACCAAAUUUACUGGUAAAAUUGCGAAGAUUAUUUUCCAAAGUUUUUAGACAAUUUUGUACACAAUUCAAUGUAAUAUAUCUGAAAAUUUCAAGAAAAAUUAUGCAUGAAUGUUGUCAAAAAUAUAUGUUUUAUCAAGGGAAAUUUGGAAACUCUGGAAUGUUCAUUCGGCGUUUUUCCUUAGCACGGCAGUACAUGCAUUGAAACUUUCUUAGAAUACGAUUGAACAUUGACUUAUACUAGAUUCAACUCAUAAGAAGAAAAUAAGUGUUCUUGCCAAUGUUAAUGCACACUUCUCACUGACUUAAAAACCAGAGUCUACUUGAGUCAAAUCCAGCACUGAACUAUUUUCCGUUUAUUUUACGAUGGUAAGAUUUUCCGGUGUAAUAACUUUUUCGCACAAGAUUAAAGGUAGGUAUCUUUAUUAGAAAUGGAGAAAAAUGUGUGUGAAACCGGGCUCCAGGUAUUUGCCAAGUAUUCAAUGCUGAAUGUGGCCUACAUUCACUAUGGUUUUAUAGCACAGGAGAAAUUCGAAUGUACAGUUUAUCAUGUAAACUACAGACGUUUAUUUCUUACUUACAAGUUGAUUUUGAAAGUUUUUGGUGUGUUCAAUGUGUUUUGCAUCAAAUCUUGAGGAUAAAACAAG
This 2439-nucleotide long non-coding RNA is filed under the name Bemisia tabaci. Its description in RNAcentral is "lncRNA ENSSWEETPG005532". Lineage: Eukaryota; Metazoa; Arthropoda; Insecta; Hemiptera; Aleyrodidae. The record is from RNAcentral.